Molecule: ribosomal RNA, 678 nt
Filed under: Salmonella enterica subsp. enterica serovar Derby
Lineage: Bacteria; Pseudomonadati; Pseudomonadota; Gammaproteobacteria; Enterobacterales; Enterobacteriaceae
Also listed under: 1 other name
Description: partial 23S ribosomal RNA
Rfam family: Bacterial large subunit ribosomal RNA
Source: RNAcentral
GUUGGCUUAGAAGCAGCCAUCAUUUAAAGAAAGCGUAAUAGCUCACUGGUCGAGUCGGCCUGCGCGGAAGAUGUAACGGGGCUAAACCAUGCACCGAAGCUGCGGCAGCGACACUAUGUGUUGUUGGGUAGGGGAGCGUUCUGUAAGCCUGUGAAGGUGUGUCGUGAGGCAUGCUGGAGGUAUCAGAAGUGCGAAUGCUGACAUAAGUAACGAUAAAGCGGGUGAAAAGCCCGCUCGCCGGAAGACCAAGGGUUCCUGUCCAACGUUAAUCGGGGCAGGGUGAGUCGACCCCUAAGGCGAGGCCGAAAGGCGUAGUCGAUGGGAAACGGGUUAAUAUUCCCGUACUUGGUGUUACUGCGAAGGGGGGACGGAGAAGGCUAUGUUGGCCGGGCGACGGUUGUCCCGGUUUAAGCGUGUAGGUGUGUGUUCCAGGUAAAUCCGGUUCACUUUAACACUGAGGCGUGAUGACGAGGCACUACGGUGCUGAAGCAACAAAUGCCCUGCUUCCAGGAAAAGCCUCUAAGCAUCAGGUAACAUCAAAUCGUACCCCAAACCGACACAGGUGGUCAGGUAGAGAAUACCAAGGCGCUUGAGAGAACUCGGGUGAAGGAACUAGGCAAAAUGGUGCCGUAACUUCGGGAGAAGGCACGCUGACACGUAGGUGAAGUGAUUUACUCA